GACGAACGCUAGCGGCAGGCCUAAUACAUGCAAGUCGAACGGUAAGGUCUCUUCGGAGAUACACGAGUGGCGCACGGGUGCGUAACGCGUAUACAACCUACCCUUUAGUGGGGGAUAACUUCUGGAAACGGGAGCUAAUACCCCAUAUGCACUCAGGAUCGCAUGAUCUAGAGUGGAAAACUCCGGUGCUAAGGGAUGGGUAUGCGUGACAUUAGCUAGUUGGUGAGGUAAUGGCUCACCAAGGCAACGAUGUCUAGCUGGUCUGAGAGGAUGAUCAGCCACACGGGCACUGAGACACGGGCCCGACUCCUACGGGAGGCAGCAGUAAGGAAUAUUGGUCAAUGGACGAAAGUCUGAACCAGCCAUGCCGCGUGCAGGAAGACGGCCCUCUGGGUUGUAAACUGCUUUUAUUUGGGGCUAAUGGGGUUCUAUACGAACCUUUGCAGGUACCAUUUGAAUAAGCACCGGCUAACUACG
RNAcentral lists this ribosomal RNA (477 nucleotides) under uncultured Bacteroidota bacterium. RNAcentral's name for it is "bacterial SSU rRNA". It matches the Rfam family "Bacterial small subunit ribosomal RNA", at positions 28 to 505 of the family's 1533-position model. Lineage: Bacteria; Pseudomonadati; Bacteroidota. The record is from RNAcentral.